RNAcentral lists this long non-coding RNA (235 nucleotides) under Solanum tuberosum (potato). RNAcentral's name for it is "long non-coding RNA (STUB_LNC007476)". The record is from RNAcentral. Lineage: Eukaryota; Viridiplantae; Streptophyta; Magnoliopsida; Solanales; Solanaceae.
CCACCUUCUAGGAAUGACUCUGUUUGAAUUAGACCUCGAAUUAUCAUACUAAUAGUACAAGUUACCAAGGAAGUCCUGUCUUAAGUCAUUAACAUUUCUCUAGUAACAUGAUCUGGAAUUGGUUGAUCGGCUAGUUCCUCCAAUGCAUCAAUGUCGUCGUCACUAAAAUCUUGCAACAUUUCAUCAAUAUCAUUUUCAAAUUGGGUCGGUAAAGGUGGACGUUCAUAACUCCUUC